Molecule: long non-coding RNA, 787 nt
Filed under: Androctonus crassicauda
Lineage: Eukaryota; Metazoa; Arthropoda; Arachnida; Scorpiones; Buthidae
Source: RNAcentral
AAUAAUAAUAUUCAUUAAUUUAAUACAAGAAUUUAUAUUUGAUUAUUAUCAAGAAUUUUAUUCAUUUUGUAAAUAUUAUAUGAUUAUGAUAAUGAGGUUGCAUGGCAACAACAUAGUUAAAAGGACUGUCAGAAGAAGGCGUUCUUGUCUCGCCUAUCAGCUGUUACAGUAUUGUGUGGAUCUGUGGUAUUUCUUGACUGAUGCUUGUUGGAGUUUGUUCUCAUUGGAAGUUUUUGUUGAUGCUGAGCAGUCACCACCUGAAGAAGUUUGUUGUUGGACUUAGGAACUUAAUUGAGUUGGAUGGUGUCCAACUGGCGUUUGGAGGAACAUUUUGUAUAUAGGCGAGAUUAUUGUUUUUUAUUAUUGUAAGUAGUUUUGAAGUUAGAAAUUUUGUUUUUGGUUAAUAAAGUUCAUAAAAUAUGGAGCACUGUUUUGAAGCUGUCAUUCGUUAGCUAAGUAAUAAUGAAUUAAAUAUUAACAUUAAGAUAAGUGCAAACAAGCAUAACACACAAGGCCGAACCGAAAGUGAAGCACGGAAGCAUGGUCCACCUUCACAAUCAUUAAUAUCAAAAUGACCUUACAUUUUCACGUAAUAUUUUAUGAAAGAGAAUAUAAAUAUUUGGAUAUUGAUAACAUUUGCCAUUUAGUAAAUAUUAAAAGUCGAUGUCACUGGAAAUAUGUUUUAACAGUUUUCUAUAUUAGAUGAAAAUCAUAAAACAGUUUUGCAGAAGCUUGCAGUUUCAAACUACAGUUAGGUUUUGAUAGUGGUACUUAUCUUAUCUUAUCC